RNAcentral lists this ribosomal RNA (153 nucleotides) under uncultured bacterium. RNAcentral describes it as "partial 16S ribosomal RNA". It matches the Rfam family "Bacterial small subunit ribosomal RNA", at positions 1334 to 1500 of the family's 1533-position model. The record is from RNAcentral.
GCUAGUAAUCACAGGUCAGCAUACUGUGGUGAAUACGUUCCCGGGCCUUGUACACACCGCCCGUCACACCAUGAGAGUUGAGAAUACCCGAAGCCCAUGUCAAAGUGGUCGAAGGUAGGCUUGAUGAUUGGGGUGAAGUCGUAACAAGGUAUC